AAUAUUGGACAAUGGGGGCAACCCUGAUCUAGCCAUGCCGCGUGUGUGAAGAAGGUCUUCGGAUUGUAAAGCACGUUAAGUUGGGAGGAAGGGCUUUAGGCUACUACCCUGAAGUUUUGACGUUACCAACAGAAUAAGAACCGGCCAACUAUGUGCCUGCAGCCGCGGUAAUACAGAGGGUGCAAGCGUUAAUCGGACUUACUGGGCGUAAAGCGCGCGUAGGUGAUUCAGUAAGAUGGGUGUGAAAUCCCCGGGCUUAACCCGGGAACUGCUUUCAUAACUGCUGAGCUAGAGUACGGUAGAGGGUAGUGGAAUUUCCUGUGUAGCGGUGAAAUGCGUAGAUAUAGGAAGGAACACCAGUGGCGAAGGCGACUACCUGGACUGAUACUGACACUGAGGUGCGAAAGCGUGGGGAGAAAACAG
Molecule: ribosomal RNA, 423 nt
Filed under: uncultured bacterium
Lineage: Bacteria
Description: partial 16S ribosomal RNA
Rfam family: Bacterial small subunit ribosomal RNA
Source: RNAcentral